Molecule: ribosomal RNA, 441 nt
Filed under: uncultured bacterium
Lineage: Bacteria
Description: partial 16S ribosomal RNA
Rfam family: Bacterial small subunit ribosomal RNA
Source: RNAcentral
CCUACGGGAGGCAGCAGUGGGGGAUAUUGCACAAUGGGGGAAACCCUGAUGCAGCAACGCCGCGUGAGUGAGGAAGUAUUUCGGUAUGUAAAGCUCUAUCAGCAGGGAAUAGAAGAGCAGGUACCUGAAAACGAAGCCCCGGCAAACUACGUGCCAGAAGCCGCGGUAAUACGUAGGGGGCAAGCGUUAUCCGGAUUUACGGGGUGUAAAGGGAGCUUAGACGGAGAGGCAAGUCAGGAGUGAAAACCCACGGCUCAACCAUGAGACUGCUUUUGAAACUGUACAACUUGAGUACGGGAGAGGUAGGCGGAAGUCCUAGUGUAGCGGUGAAAUGCGUAGAUAUUAGGAGGAACACCAGCGGCGAAGGCGUCUUACUGGACCGAAACUGACGUUGAGGCUCGAAAGCGUGGGGAGCAAACAGGAUUAGAUACCCUAGUAGUC